This 989-nucleotide ribosomal RNA is filed under the name Dardanus insignis. RNAcentral describes it as "SSU rRNA". It matches the Rfam family "Eukaryotic small subunit ribosomal RNA", at positions 84 to 1334 of the family's 1831-position model. Lineage: Eukaryota; Metazoa; Arthropoda; Malacostraca; Decapoda; Diogenidae. The record is from RNAcentral.
ACACUGACGACAUGGUUCUACACCUGAGAAACGGCUACCACAUCCAAGGAAGGCAGCAGGCACGCAAAUUACCCACUCCCGGCUUGGGGAGGUAGUGACGAAAAAUAACGAUGUGAGACUCAUCCGAGGCCUCACAAUCGGAAUGAGUACACUUUAAAUCCUUUAACGAGGAUCUAUUGGAGGGCAAGUCUGGUGCCAGCAGCCGCGGUAAUUCCAGCUCCAAUAGCGUAUAUUAAGUUGUUUGCGGUUAAAAAGCUCGUAGUUGGACUACAGUUCCGGACUGACGGUACACCUCCCGGUGUUUACUGUCACGCUCCGAACAGCCUGGUAUUUAACAGUCCAGGCCCCGCUGGCUCGCCCGGGGUGCUCUUCAUCGAGUGUCCCGAGUGGCUGGCAAGUUUACUUUGAAAAAAUUAGAGUGCUCAGAGCAGGCUACACGAAUGGCCUAAAUGUCUAUGCAUGGAAUAAUGGAAUAGGACCUCGGUUCUAUUUUGUCGGUUUUCCUCGGAACCCGAGGUAAUGACUAAUAGAAACAGGCGGGGGCAUUCGUAUUGCGACGCUAGAGGUGAAAUUCUUGGACCGUCGCAGGACGAACUACUGCGAAAGCAUUUGCCAAGGAUGUUUUCAUUAAUCAAGAACGAAAGUUAGAGGUUCGAAGGCGAUCAGAUACCGCCCUAGUUCUAACCAUAAACGAUGCUGACCAGCGAUCCGUUGGCGUUAUUCCCAUGACCCAGCGGGCAGCUUCCGGGAAACCAAAGUCUUUGAGUUCCGGGGGAAGUAUGGUUGCAAAGCUGAAACUUAAAGGAAUUGACGGAAGGGCACCACCAGGAGUGGAGCCUGCGGCUUAAUUUGACUCAACACGGGAAAUCUCACCAGGCCCGGACACCGGAAGGAUUGACAGAUUGAGAGCUCUUUCUCGAUUCGGUGGGUGGUGGUGCAUGGCCGUUCUUAGUUGGUGGAGCGAUUUGUCUGGUUAAUUCCGAUAACGA